Molecule: ribosomal RNA, 1347 nt
Filed under: metagenome
Description: bacterial LSU rRNA
Rfam family: Bacterial large subunit ribosomal RNA
Source: RNAcentral
UGAGUGCGAGCUUCUACGGAAGCGAAGUUGGUGACGUCAAGCUUCCAAGAAAAGCCCUAUACCCGUUAAGGCAUGAUUACCUGUACCCGGAACCGACACAGGUGGGGUGGUAGAGAAUACCGAGGGGCGCGAGGUAACUCUCUCUAAGGAACUCGGCAAAAUGACCCCGUAACUUCGGGAGAAGGGGUGCCAGCGCGAGCUGGUCGCAGUGAAUAGGCCCAGGCGACUGUUUACCAAAAACACAGGUCUCCGCUAAGUCGCAAGACGAUGUAUGGGGGCUGACGCCUGCCCAGUGCCGGAAGGUUAAAGAAGUUGGUCAGCGCAAGCGAAGCUAACGACUGAAGCCCCGGUGAACGGCGGCCGUAACAAUAACGGUCCUAAGGUAGCGAAAUUCCUUGUCGGGUAAGUUCCGACCCGCACGAAAGGCGUAACGAUCUGGGCGCUGUCUCGGAGAGAGGCUCGGCGAAAUAGAAUUGUCUGUGAAGAUGCGGACUACGUGCACCCGGACAGAAAGACCCUAUGAAGCUUUACUGUAGCUUGGUAUUGUGCUCGGGCUCGCAAUGCGCAGGAUAGGUGGGAGGCUUUGAUCCAUUGCUUGUGGGUGAUGGUGAGCCACUGGUGAGAUACCACUCUUUGCGAGCUAGGGUUCUAACGGUUACCCGUCAUCCGGGAACCGGACAGUAUCUGGUGGGCAGUUUGACUGGGGCGGUCGCCUCCUAAAAGGUAACGGAGGCGCGCAAAGGUUUGCUCAGGCUGGUUGGAAAUCAGCCGACGAGUGUAAAAGCAGAAGCAAGCUUGACUGUGAGACCUACAAGUCGAACAGGGAGGAAACUCGGCUUUAGUGAUCCGACGGUUCUGAGUCGAAGGGCCGUCGCUCAACGGAUAAAAGUUACUCUAGGAUAACAGGCUGAUCUCCCCCAAGAGUUCACAUCGACGGGGAGGUUUGGCACCUUGAUGUCGGCUCAUCGCAACCUGGGGCUGAAGUCGGUCCCAAGGGUUGGGCUGUUCGCCCAUUAAAGCGGUACGCGAGCUGGGUUCAGAACGUCGUGAGACAGUUCGGUCCAUAUCCGGUGCAUGCGCAGGAAUAUUGAGAGGAUUUCUCCCUAGUACGAGAGGACCGGGAGGAACGCACCUCUGGUGUACCAGUUAUCGUGCCAACGGUAAACGCUGGGUAGCCAUGUGCGGAGUGGAUAACCGCUGAAAGCAUCUAAGUGGGAAGCCACCUCAAGAUGAGUAUUCCCAUGGCUUAAGCCAGUAAGGUCACGGGAAGAACACCCGUUGAUAGGCUCUAUGUGGAAGCGCAGUAAUGCGUGAAGCAGAGGAGUACUAAUAGACCGAGGGCUUGAC